RNAcentral lists this ribosomal RNA (400 nucleotides) under uncultured organism. Its description in RNAcentral is "bacterial SSU rRNA". It matches the Rfam family "Bacterial small subunit ribosomal RNA", at positions 45 to 433 of the family's 1533-position model. The record is from RNAcentral.
UGCCUAACACAUGCAAGUCAAGGGGGUCUGCCGCAAGGCAGACCACCGGCGCACGGGUGAGUAACACGUGGGUAAUCUGCCUCCGAGAUUGGGAUAACCUGCCGAAAGGCGGGCUAAUACCGGAUAAGGCCACAGGGACGAGAGUCCCAGGGGUUAAAGGAUGGCCUCUAUUUAUAAGCUAUCGCUUGGAGAUGAGCUCGCGGCCCAUCAGCUAGUUGGUAAGGUAAUGGCUUACCAAGGCUAUGACGGGUAGCUGGUCUUAGAGGACGACCAGCCACACUGGAACUGAGACACGGUCCAGACUCCUACGGGAGACAGCAGUGGGGAAUAUUGCGCAAUGGACGAAAGUCUGACGCAGCAACGCCGCGUGGGUGAUGAAGGCCUUCGGGUCGUAAAGCCG